Molecule: ribosomal RNA, 463 nt
Filed under: uncultured Methanolinea sp.
Lineage: Archaea; Methanobacteriati; Methanobacteriota; Methanomicrobia; Methanomicrobiales; Methanoregulaceae
Description: bacterial SSU rRNA
Rfam family: Archaeal small subunit ribosomal RNA
Source: RNAcentral
CGACCACAACAGGUGGAGCCUGCGGUUUAAUCGGACUCAACGCCGGGAAACUCACCAGUUAAGACAGCUGAAUGAUAGCCGGGCUGAAGACUCUGCUUGACUAGCUGAGAGGAGGUGCAUGGCCGUCGUCAGUUCGUACUGUGAAGCAUCCUGUUAAGUCAGGCAACGAGCGAGACCCACGCCAACAGUUGCCAGCAUGUCCUCCGGGAUGGUGGGGACACUGUUGGGACCGCCUCUGCUAAAGAGGAGGAAGGAAUGGGCAACGGUAGGUCAGCAUGCCCCGAAUUAUCCGGGCUACACGCGGGCUACAAUGGUCAGGACAAUGGGCAUCAACACCGAAAGGUGAAGGCAAUCUCUUAAACCUGUCCUUAGUUCGGAUUGUGGGCUGCAACUCGCCCACAUGAAGCUGGAAUCUGUAGUAAUCGCGUCUCAAAAUGGCGCGGUGAAUAUGUCCCUGCUCCUU